RNAcentral lists this ribosomal RNA (292 nucleotides) under uncultured bacterium. Its description in RNAcentral is "partial 16S ribosomal RNA". It matches the Rfam family "Bacterial small subunit ribosomal RNA", at positions 505 to 796 of the family's 1533-position model. The record is from RNAcentral.
GUGUCAGCCGCCGCGGUAAUACGUAGGUGGCGAGCGUUGUCCGGAUUUAUUGGGCGUAAAGAGCCCGCAGGCGGUUUGCUAAGUUUCAGGUGAAAUCUCCUGGCUCAACUGGGAGGGGUCCUGGAAAACUGGCAGACUUGAGGCAGGGAGAGGGAUGUGGAAUUCCCGGUGUAGUGGUGAAAUGCGUAGAUAUCGGGAGGAACACCAGUGGCGAAGGCGGCAUCCUGGCCCUGUCCUGACGCUCAGGGGCGAAAGCGUGGGGAGCAAACCGGAUUAGAAACCCUAGUAGUCC